GCGAUGCCUCGAUCAGAAACAGACCGGGAUCGAUCGCACCCAUAGGAAAUUGGCAGGCGAGACAGCGCAUCCAGAGCAGAUCAAAAUCGAUCGCAUCGCAUCCAGAGCCGGCAACACGGCGACAGGCAGUUCCGAGUUCCGAUUAACUCUGUCUGAUGAACAUGUUCCGGGACUCUUGCCAUCACCAAAACAGGGAUCGUUACCUCAUUAGAGAUCGGUUCUUGCCUCCUUGAUUAAAGAUCACAGUAUAGCAGUUCAUCCGGACAGGACACGAGACUAGUAAUACAGAUUUGAGUCAUCAUGAGGAGAAGAUUCAUUACGAGGAUAUCACUGAAGAUUUCAUUUCAAGAAAUAAUAAAAGAAUGACGUUGUUCAAAUAAAUAUUAUGCAAUCGGGGGUUGAAUAGGUAUGAUUUUUUAUGUAUCCAAUUGUUAUGUAAAAUAUUAUAUCAUAUCCAUUAAUUGCUUUUCGUUCAUUUUUUUUAGUGAGAUAGGGCUCCAUUUUUUUGUUUCGCACGGGGCCCUGGAUUUUGCCAACACGGGCCUGCCCCCAAAUCCAGCCUACUCUUGUUUUCAGGUUUCUGGUGCAUUCAUUCAUCUUUAUAGGACCACUUCAACCUAAUCCUCAGGCUAUGCUUUCUGGAGUUCGUUCUCACCGCGGAGUAGAGGGUGGCUCGCCGGAGGCACAUUGCAUAGUCCUGAUGAUCCACACUAGACCCCAGAUUUUCUUGACGCACGAUGGUCCAUUGAAGGUCCUUGCAUCAAUUGUUUUCGUACCACUUGAAGAGUUAAUCAAUAGAGCACUGAUGAAUAAUGUUCAAAUAGUCUCCGCAUGUUAGACAAAACGCAUGUGUACUCAUGCACAGACGCGUGACUUGAGCUAUGUAUUGAUCAAAGAAAAUUUUAACUUACUCACAUAGUGCUAAUUGAA
Molecule: long non-coding RNA, 930 nt
Organism: Triticum aestivum (bread wheat)
Lineage: Eukaryota; Viridiplantae; Streptophyta; Magnoliopsida; Poales; Poaceae
Exons: 3
Source: RefSeq, a predicted model, not a curated record